AUUGAACGCUGGCGGCAGGCCUAACACAUGCAAGUCGGGCGGGGUUUUCGGACCUAGCGGCGGACGGGUGAGUAAUGCGUAGGAAGCUGCCCGAUAGAGGGGGAUACCAGUUGGAAACGACUGUUAAUACCGCAUAAUGUCUACGGACCAAAGUGUGGGACCUUCGGGCCACAUGCUAUCGGAUGCGCCUACGUGGGAUU
Molecule: ribosomal RNA, 200 nt
Filed under: uncultured bacterium
Lineage: Bacteria
Description: partial 16S ribosomal RNA
Rfam family: Bacterial small subunit ribosomal RNA
Source: RNAcentral